RNAcentral lists this ribosomal RNA (162 nucleotides) under uncultured bacterium. Its description in RNAcentral is "partial 16S rRNA". It matches the Rfam family "Bacterial small subunit ribosomal RNA", at positions 358 to 511 of the family's 1533-position model. The record is from RNAcentral.
GGAAUCUUCCACAAUGGGCGAAAGCCUGAUGGAGCAACGCCGCGUGUGUGAUGAAGGGUUUCGGCUCGUAAAACACUGUUGUAAGAGAAGAAUGACAUUGAGAGUAACUGUUCAAUGUGUGACGGUAUCUUACCAGAAAGGAACGGCUAAAUACGUGUCCAG